This 274-nucleotide ribosomal RNA is filed under the name uncultured bacterium. RNAcentral describes it as "partial 16S ribosomal RNA". It matches the Rfam family "Bacterial small subunit ribosomal RNA", at positions 523 to 796 of the family's 1533-position model. The record is from RNAcentral.
AUACGGAGGGUGCAAGCGUUAUCCGGAAUCACUGGGUUUAAAGGGUGCGUAGGCGGCCUGGUAAGUCAGAGGUGAAAUACACGAGCUUAACUGGUGAAUUGCCUUUGAAACUAUCAAGCUAGAAUUAUGUUGAGGUCAGCGGAAUGAGUCAUGUAGCGGUGAAAUGAAUAGAUAUGACUUAGAACACCAAUUGCGUAGGCAGCUGGCUAGGCAUUAAUUGACGCUGAGGCACGAAAGCGUGGGGAGCGAACAGGAUUAGAAACCCCAGUAGUCC